UACGGAGGAUGCAAGCGUUAUCCGGAAUGAUUGGGCGUAAAGCGUCCGCAGGUGGCUAUGUAAGUCUGCUGUUAAAGAGUCUAGCUCAACUAGAUAAGAGCAGUGGAAACUACAUGGCUAGAGUGCGUUCGGGGCAGAGGGAAUUCCUGGUGUAGCGGUGAAAUGCGUAGAGAUCAGGAAGAACACCGGUGGCGAAGGCGCUCUGCUAGGCCGCAACUGACACUGAGGGACGAAAAGCUAGGGGGAGCGAAUGGG
Molecule: ribosomal RNA, 255 nt
Filed under: uncultured bacterium
Lineage: Bacteria
Description: partial 16S ribosomal RNA
Rfam family: Bacterial small subunit ribosomal RNA
Source: RNAcentral